AGAUUAAGUUAUUAAGGGCGCACGGUGGAUGCCUUGGCACUAGAAGCCGAAGAAGGACGUUACUAACGACGAUAUGCUUUGGGGAGCUGUAAGUACGCUUUGAUCCAGAGAUUUCCGAAUGGGGAAACCCAGCAUGAGUUAUGUCAUGUUAUCCGCAUAUGAAUACAUAGUAUGUGAGAAGGCACACCCGGAGAACUGAAACAUCUUAGUACCCGGAGGAAGAGAAAGAAAACUCGAUUCCCUGAGUAGCGGCGAGCGAAACGGGAAGAGCCCAAACCAAUAGGCUUGCCUAUUGGGGUUGUAGGACACUCUAUACGGAGUUACAAAGGAAAUGAUUAGACGAAUGGUUUUGGAAAAGCCAACCAUAGAAGGUAAAGGUCCUGUAGUCGAAAGUCAUUUCUCUCCUGAGUGGAUCCUGAGUACGGCGGAACACGUGAAAUUCCGUCGGAAUCUGGGAGGACCAUCUCCCAAGGCUAAAUACUCUCUAGUGACCGAUAGUGAACCAGUACCGUGAGGGAAAGGUGAAAAGCACCCCGGAAGGGGAGUGAAAUAGAACCUGAAACCGUGUGCUUACAAAUAGUCAGAGCCCGUUAAUGGGUGAUGGCGUGCCUUUUGUAGAAUGAACCGGCGAGUUACGAUUUGAUGCAAGGUUAAGCAGUAAAUGUGGAGCCGUAGCGAAAGCGAGUCUGAAUAGGGCGAAUGAGUAUCUGGUCGUAGACCCGAAACCAAGUGAUCUACCCAUGUCCAGGUUGAAGUUCAGGUAACACUGAAUGGAGGACCGAACCGACUUACGUUGAAAAGUGAGCGGAUGAGGUGUGGGUAGCGGAGAAAUUCCAAUCGAACUUGGAGAUAGCUGGUUCUCUCCGAAAUAGCUUUAGGGCUAGCCUCAAGUGAUGAUUAUUGGAGGUAGAGCACUGUUUGGACGAGGGGCCCCUCUCGGGUUACCGAAUUCAGACAAACUCCGAAUGCCAAAUAAUUUAACUUGGGAGUCAGACUAUGGGUGAUAAGGUCCGUAGUCGAAAGGGAAACAGCCCAGACCACCAGCUAAGGUCCCAAAAUAUAUGUUAAGUGGAAAAGGAUGUGGCGUUGCCCAGACAACUAGGAUGUUGGCUUAGAAGCAGCCAUCAUUUAAAGAGUGCGUAAUAGCUCACUAGUCGAGUGACACUGCGCCGAAAAUGUACCGGGGCUAAACAUAUUACCGAAGCUGUGGAUUAUCCGUAAGGAUAAUGGUAGGAGAGCGUUCUAAACGUGUCGAAGCAUGAUCGUAAGGACAUGUGGAAUGUUUAGAAGUGAGAAUGCCGGUGUGAGUAGCGAAAGAUGGGUGAGAAUCCCAUCCACCGAUUGACUAAGGUUUCCAGAGGAAGGCUCGUCCGCUCUGGGUUAGUCGGGACCUAAGCCGAGGCCGAUAGGCGUAGGCGAUGGAUAACAGGUAGAUAUUCCUGUACCACCUAUGAUUGUUUGAACGAUGGGGGGACGCAGUAGGAUAGGCGAAGCGUGCUGUUGGAGUGCACGUCCAAGCAAUAAGACUGAGUGUUAGGCAAAUCCGGCACUCGUAAGGUUGAGUUGUGAUGGGGAGUUGGAUCAUGUAUCCGACGAGUCGUUGAUUUCACACUGCCAAGAAAAGCCUCUAGUUAGAAAAUAGGUGCCCGUACCGCAAACCGACACAGGUAGUCAAGAUGAGAAUUCUAAGGUGAGCGAGCGAACUCUCGUUAAGGAACUCGGCAAAAUGACCCCGUAACUUCGGGAGAAGGGGUGCUUUUUAGGGUGCAAGCCUUGAAGAGCCGCAGUGAAUAGGCCCAAGCGACUGUUUAUCAAAAACACAGGUCUCUGCUAAACCGUAAGGUGAUGUAUAGGGGCUGACGCCUGCCCGGUGCUGGAAGGUUAAGAGGAGUGGUUAGCUUCUGCGAAGCUACGAAUCGAAGCCCCAGUAAACGGCGGCCGUAACUAUAACGGUCCUAAGGUAGCGAAAUUCCUUGUCGGGUAAGUUCCGACCCGCACGAAAGGCGUAACGAUUUGGGCACUGUCUCAACGAGAGACUCGGUGAAAUCAUAGUACCUGUGAAGAUGCAGGUUACCCGCGACAGGACGGAAAGACCCCGUGGAGCUUUACUGUAGCCUGAUAUUGAAAUUUGGCACAGCUUGUACAGGAUAGGUAGGAGCCUUUGAAACGUGAGCGCUAGCUUACGUGGAGGCGCUGGUGGGAUACUACCCUGGCUGUGUUGACUUUCUAACCCGCACCAUUUGAUCAUGGUGGGAGACAGUGUCAGGCGGGCAGUUUGACUGGGGC
RNAcentral lists this ribosomal RNA (2286 nucleotides) under Salmonella sp. 3DZ2-4SM. Its description in RNAcentral is "partial 23S ribosomal RNA". It matches the Rfam family "Bacterial large subunit ribosomal RNA", at positions 1 to 2280 of the family's 2925-position model. The record is from RNAcentral. Lineage: Bacteria; Pseudomonadati; Pseudomonadota; Gammaproteobacteria; Enterobacterales; Enterobacteriaceae.